GAUGAAGAACGCAGCGAAAUGCGAUAAGUAAUGUGAAUUGCAGAAUUCAGUGAAUCAUCGAAUCUUUGAACGCACAUUGCGCCCGCCAGUAUUCUGGCGGGCAUGCCUGUCUGAGCGUCAUUUCAACCCUCAUGCCCCUAGGGCGUGGUGUUGGGGAUCGGCCAAAGCCUGCGAGGGACGGCCGGCCCCUAAAUCUAGUGGCGGACCCGUCGUGGCCUCCUCUGCGAAGUAGUGAUAUUCCGCAUCGGAGAGCGAUGAGCCCCUGCCGUUAAACCCCCAACUUUCCAAGGUUGACCUCAGAUCAGGUAGGAAUACCCGCUGAACUUAAGCAUAUCAAUAAGCGGAGGA
This 348-nucleotide unclassified non-coding RNA is filed under the name soil metagenome. Its description in RNAcentral is "partial contains 5.8S ribosomal RNA, internal transcribed spacer 2, and large subunit ribosomal RNA". The stretch from base 1 to 120 matches the Rfam family "5.8S ribosomal RNA", at positions 35 to 154 of the family's 154-position model. The record is from RNAcentral.